AUGCUCGCUUCAGCAGCACACACACUAAAACUGGAACGAUAGCGAGAAGACUGGCAAGGUCCCUGCACAAGGAUAACAAGCAAAUGCAUGACGCAGUCCAUAUUUUU
Small nuclear RNA from Ailuropoda melanoleuca (giant panda), 107 nucleotides. The record is from Ensembl. NCBI's taxonomy places the organism in Eukaryota, Metazoa, Chordata, Mammalia, Carnivora, Ursidae.